UUGAACAUGUUUGAUGCUUCAACGACCUUCUAUGCAUCAUGUAGCACAAUAUUAUGUGAUGUCAUAUUGUGAUUAUUAUGUGAUGAUUCGCGAGACGGCAUAAAGUGUUUUGUUUGGAAGAAGGUUUCGUGCUGAAAUUUAAAAUUAGUGCGAUUCCCUGUGCAAUAUACCGGUUUUGUGGCAAUUACAGUGUUUAUUUAGUUCAUUUUACUGCAGUGCAAGUUUUUAGCAAGAUAUAUCCGUGAUAAGCCGAACGUAUAAAGAAGGAAGAAAGCAGUGAGACAACAGGGUGACAGCAAAAUGCAAUAGCUGGAUAAAUAAAAGAUUAAUUAGUUAUGCUUCAUCGUCCUAAUGUUUCAGAUUCUUCUACAGCGGAUAUUUGAUGACAAAAAGCGAGUGAAAAAAGAAUGCAACUAUGGACGGACGGCAUAAACCAACUCGAUUAAACUACUAUACAUACACGUCGUUAUUGUUGUGCAAACAAUUAUAAGGGAAAUUAUACUGUGAAGCGUAUGCUGCACAAAAUUGUCCCGGUCUGCCAACCAUUUCCUCGCGCCCUUCUGAUUCGAUUGCUCAUGAUCAGACUGUGCAAUUUUAAAAUGACGAGACGCACGAAGACACGACUGACAAGAUGAUUCAUGUACGACGACCGACAGCAGCGGACACGCUACUACAAUCUGGCGACGAGGAUUUUGGAAUUUAACGCAGAAAACAAGGAAAAAAGAUGCAAGAAAUGCGACCAGUACCAAUGUUGCUGUGCGAUAAAAUCGAAACUGCUAAACUCGCAACAGAAUGGAAAAUUUGGAAGGAAGCGUUGGAAUGCUACUUUGCAGCGUACAACGUAACGGACCAAACGGAGAAAAAAGCAAAACUACUACAUCUCGGAGGACCGGCACUACCGAGAGUGUUUAAAAAUUUA
Long non-coding RNA from Anopheles merus, 919 nucleotides. RefSeq lists it as uncharacterized. Lineage: Eukaryota; Metazoa; Arthropoda; Insecta; Diptera; Culicidae. The transcript has 4 exons. The record is from RefSeq and is a predicted model, not a curated record.